This 445-nucleotide ribosomal RNA is filed under the name uncultured bacterium. RNAcentral's name for it is "bacterial SSU rRNA". It matches the Rfam family "Bacterial small subunit ribosomal RNA", at positions 354 to 796 of the family's 1533-position model. The record is from RNAcentral.
GUGAGGAAUAUUGCGCAAUGGAGGCAACUCUGACGCAGCCAUGCCGCGUGCAGGAAGAAUGCGCUACGCGUUGUAAACUGCUUUUAACCGGGAAGAAACCCCAGGACGUGUCCUGGGUUGACGGUACCGGAGGAAUAAGCACCGGCUAACUUCGUGCCAGCAGCCGCGGUAAUACGAAGGGUGCAAGCGUUAUCCGGAUUCAUUGGGUUUAAAGGGUGCGUAGGCGGAGCGUUAAGUCAGUGGUGAAAUCCUGCAGCUUAACUGUAGACUUGCCAUUGAUACUGGCGCUCUUGAGUGCGCUUGAAGUGGGCGGAAUGUGCCGUGUAGCGGUGAAAUGCUUAGAUAUGGCACAGAACACCAAUUGCGAAGGCAGCUCACUAAGGCGAUACUGACGCUGAGGCACGAAAGCGUGGGGAUCGAACAGGAUUAGAUACCCGGGUAGUCC